UUCAAUAUAAUCCCAAGACUAAAUUAUUUAGCUACUCAGAAAAAAAGUAAAGAGAGAUAUACCAUAUGGGUCAACCAAAACAUUAAUUCUUCAACAAUAAAGUAUACACACUUACCCAAUUAGGGUUUCAAGCUUAGAAUUCAAAACUAUCUUAUGAGAUAAGCAAUACCCGAAGAAGAAAGGGCUUUUUCUUAUAUAUAAUUUGGGAUUAGUCCAUAACAUUUUAUAAUUCUUCCCUUGGGCUAGUUCCUGCUACUCCAUGAUCGUGUGUGUUUAACCGCAAUCAUGGCUAUGCGACAGCUGCUAGGUUCCAUGACCGCUCUUUGCUGACCAUAUGAACCAAAGUGACCACAGUCAUGGUAACCGAGGCUGACUGCUUCAGGUUUCUAGAUGCACUUCUUUUUCUUCUAUUUGCUUCCUUUUAGCUCUAUUCCAUAUAUUCUCACCUUCUUUACUUUAUAUCUGCAAAAUGUGGGUGUUAGUGCACUUAAAUUCGGAUAAUGCCUUAUUUUCUAAUACAAAACAUGGUAGUGUGGGUGUAUAAUUUGUAUGAAUGAGUGGUAGGAUUACUACUCAUAAAAUUUUUAGAUGGAAUUAUGGAGCUUAUUUUACUC
RNAcentral lists this long non-coding RNA (614 nucleotides) under Capsicum annuum. RNAcentral's name for it is "long non-coding RNA (CANN_LNC019236)". Lineage: Eukaryota; Viridiplantae; Streptophyta; Magnoliopsida; Solanales; Solanaceae. The record is from RNAcentral.